UAGCUAGUUGGUGAGGUAAAGGCUUACCAAGGCGACGAUCUGUAGCGGGUCUGAGAGGAUGAUCCGCCACACUGGAACUGAGACACGGUCCAGACUCCUACGGGAGGCAGCAGUGGGGAAUUUUGGACAAUGGGGGCAACCCUGAUCCAGCCAUGCCGCGUGAGUGAAGAAGGCCUUCGGGUUGUAAAGCUCUUUCGGCCGGGAAGAAAUCGCAUGGGCCAAUACCCUGUGUGGAUGACGGUACCGGAAUAAGAAGCACCGGCUAACUACGUGCCAGCAGCCGCGGUAAUACGUAGGGUGCGAGCGUUAAUCGGAAUUACUGGGCGUAAAGCGUGCGCAGGCGGUUUUGUAAGACAGGCGUGAAAUCCCCGGGCUUAACCUGGGAACUGCGUUUGUGACUGCAAGGCUAGAGUACGGCAGAGGGGGGUGGAAUUCCACGUGUAGCAGUGAAAUGCGUAGAGAUGUGGAGGAACACCAAUGGCGAAGGCAGCCCCCUGGGUCGAUACUGACGCUCAUGCACGAAAGCGUGGGUAGCAAACAGGAUUAGAUACCCUGGUAGUCCACGCCCUAAACUAUGUCAACUAGGUGUUGGGUGGGUAAAACCAUUUAGUACCGUAGCUAACGCGUGAAGUUGACCGCCUGGGGAGUACGGCCGCAAGGUUAAAACUCAAAGGAAUUGACGGGGACCCGCACAAGCGGUGGAUGAUGUGGAUUAAUCCGAUGCAACGCGAAAAACCUUACCUACCCUUGACAUGCCAGGAACUUGCCAGAGAUGGCUUGGUGCCCGAAAGGGAGCCUGGACACAGGUGCUGCAUGGCUGUCGUCAGCUCGUGUCGUGAGAUGUUGGGUUAAGUCCCGCAACGAGCGCAACCCUUGUCGUUAAUUGCCAUCAUUUAGUUGGGCACUUUAACGAGACUGCCGGUGACAAACCGGAGGAAGGUGGGGAUGACGUCAAGUCCUCAUGGCCCUUAUGGGUAGGGCUUCACACGUCAUACAAUGGUCGGUACAAAGGGUUGCCAAGCCGCGAGGCGGAGCCAAUCCCAGAAAGCCGAUCGUAGUCCGGAUUGCAGGCUGCAACUCGCCUGCAUGAAGUCGGAAUCGCUAGUAAUCGUGGAUCAGCAUGUCACGGUGAAUACGUUCCCGGGUCUUGUACACACCGCCCGUCACACCAUGGGAGCGGGUUCCGCCAGAAGUAGGUAGCCUAACCGCAAGGGGGGCGCUUACCACGGCGGGGUUCGUGACUGGGGUGAAGUCGUAACAAGGUAGCCGUAGGGGAACCUGUGGCUG
Molecule: ribosomal RNA, 1287 nt
Filed under: metagenome
Description: bacterial SSU rRNA
Rfam family: Bacterial small subunit ribosomal RNA
Source: RNAcentral